RNAcentral lists this microRNA precursor (61 nucleotides) under Limulus polyphemus (Atlantic horseshoe crab). RNAcentral's name for it is "Lpo-Mir-2-P2g_pre stem-loop". Lineage: Eukaryota; Metazoa; Arthropoda; Merostomata; Xiphosura; Limulidae. The record is from RNAcentral.
UCGCCAAAAUUGCUGUGAUGUGUUGUGAAUAUAAAAUCAUAUCACAGCCAUCUUGACGAAU